RNAcentral lists this ribosomal RNA (2791 nucleotides) under Serratia marcescens. Its description in RNAcentral is "bacterial LSU rRNA". It matches the Rfam family "Bacterial large subunit ribosomal RNA". Lineage: Bacteria; Pseudomonadati; Pseudomonadota; Gammaproteobacteria; Enterobacterales; Yersiniaceae. The record is from RNAcentral.
AGCGUACACGGUGGAUGCCUAGGCAGUCAGAGGCGAUGAAGGGCGUGCUAAUCUGCGAAAAGCGUCGGUAAGGUGAUAUGAACCGUUAUAACCGGCGAUACCCGAAUGGGGAAACCCAGUGUGUUUCGACACACUAUCAUGUCAUGAAUACAUAGUGGCAUGAGGCGAACCGGGGGAACUGAAACAUCUAAGUACCCCGAGGAAAAGAAAUCAACCGAGAUUCCCCCAGUAGCGGCGAGCGAACGGGGAGGAGCCCAGAACCUGAAUCGGCUUGUGUGUUAGUGGAAGCGUCUGGAAAGUCGCGCAGCAAAGGGUGAUAGCCCCGUACACUAAAAUGCACAGGUCGUGAGUUCGAUGAGUAGGGCGGGACACGUGACAUCCUGUCUGAAUAUGGGGGGACCAUCCUCCAAGGCUAAAUACUCCUGACUGACCGAUAGUGAACCAGUACCGUGAGGGAAAGGCGAAAAGAACCCCGGCGAGGGGAGUGAAAUAGAACCUGAAACCGUGUACGUACAAGCAGUGGGAGCACCUUCGUGGUGUGACUGCGUACCUUUUGUAUAAUGGGUCAGCGACUUAUAUUUUGUAGCAAGGUUAACCGUAUAGGGGAGCCGUAGGGAAACCGAGUCUUAACUGGGCGAUUAGUUGCAAGGUAUAGACCCGAAACCCGGUGAUCUAGCCAUGGGCAGGUUGAAGGUUGGGUAACACUAACUGGAGGACCGAACCGACUAAUGUUGAAAAAUUAGCGGAUGACUUGUGGCUGGGGGUGAAAGGCCAAUCAAACCGGGAGAUAGCUGGUUCUCCCCGAAAGCUAUUUAGGUAGCGCCUCGUGAACUCAUCUUCGGGGGUAGAGCACUGUUUCGGCUAGGGGGCCAUCCCGGCUUACCAAACCGAUGCAAACUCCGAAUACCGAAGAAUGUUAUCACGGGAGACACACGGCGGGUGCUAACGUCCGUCGUGAAGAGGGAAACAACCCAGACCGCCAGCUAAGGUCCCAAAGUCAUGGUUAAGUGGGAAACGAUGUGGGAAGGCACAGACAGCCAGGAUGUUGGCUUAGAAGCAGCCAUCAUUUAAAGAAAGCGUAAUAGCUCACUGGUCGAGUCGGCCUGCGCGGAAGAUGUAACGGGGCUAAACCAUGCACCGAAGCUGCGGCAGCGACGCUUAGGCGUUGUUGGGUAGGGGAGCGUUCUGUAAGCCGUUGAAGGUGGCCUGUGAGGGUUGCUGGAGGUAUCAGAAGUGCGAAUGCUGACAUAAGUAACGAUAAAGCGGGUGAAAAGCCCGCUCGCCGGAAGACCAAGGGUUCCUGUCCAACGUUAAUCGGGGCAGGGUGAGUCGACCCCUAAGGCGAGGCUGAAAAGCGUAGUCGAUGGGAAACAGGUUAAUAUUCCUGUACUUGGUGUUACUGCGAAGGGGGGACGGAGAAGGCUAGGCUGGCCGGGCGACGGUUGUCCCGGUUUAAGCGUGUAGGGGGUGUGACCUGGUAAAUCCGGUUGCAUAUCAACCCUGAGGCGUGAUGACGAUGCACUACGGUGCAGAAGUAGUUGAUGCCCUGCUUCCAGGAAAAUCCUCUAAGCUCCAGGUAACAUUAAAUCGUACCCCAAACCGACACAGGUGGUCAGGUAGAGAAUACCAAGGCGCUUGAGAGAACUCGGGUGAAGGAACUAGGCAAAAUGGUGCCGUAACUUCGGGAGAAGGCACGCUGGCAUGUAGGUGAAGUCCCUUGCGGAUGGAGCUGAAGCCAGUCGAAGAUACCAGCUGGCUGCAACUGUUUAAUAAAAACACAGCACUGUGCAAACACGAAAGUGGACGUAUACGGUGUGACGCCUGCCCGGUGCUGGAAGGUUAAUUGAUGGGGUCAGCCGCAAGGCGAAGCUCUUGAUCGAAGCCCCAGUAAACGGCGGCCGUAACUAUAACGGUCCUAAGGUAGCGAAAUUCCUUGUCGGGUAAGUUCCGACCUGCACGAAUGGCGUAAUGAUGGCCAGGCUGUCUCCACCCGAGACUCAGUGAAAUUGAACUCGCUGUGAAGAUGCAGUGUACCCGCGGCAAGACGGAAAGACCCCGUGAACCUUUACUAUAGCUUGACACUGAACAUUGAGCCUUGAUGUGUAGGAUAGGUGGGAGGCUUUGAAGCGUGGACGCCAGUCUGCGUGGAGCCAUCCUUGAAAUACCACCCUUUAAUGUUUGAUGUUCUAACUCUGCCCCGUGAUCCGGGGUGAGGACAGUGUCUGGUGGGUAGUUUGACUGGGGCGGUCUCCUCCCAAAGAGUAACGGAGGAGCACGAAGGUUAGCUAAUCACGGUCGGACAUCGUGAGGUUAGUGCAAAGGCAUAAGCUAGCUUGACUGCGAGAGUGACGGCUCGAGCAGGUACGAAAGUAGGUCUUAGUGAUCCGGUGGUUCUGAAUGGAAGGGCCAUCGCUCAACGGAUAAAAGGUACUCCGGGGAUAACAGGCUGAUACCGCCCAAGAGUUCAUAUCGACGGCGGUGUUUGGCACCUCGAUGUCGGCUCAUCACAUCCUGGGGCUGAAGUAGGUCCCAAGGGUAUGGCUGUUCGCCAUUUAAAGUGGUACGCGAGCUGGGUUUAGAACGUCGUGAGACAGUUCGGUCCCUAUCUGCCGUGGGCGUUGGAAGAUUGAGAGGGGUUGCUCCUAGUACGAGAGGACCGGAGUGAACGCACCACUGGUGUUCGGGUUGUCAUGCCAAUGGCAUUGCCCGGUAGCUAAGUGCGGAAAAGAUAAGCGCUGAAAGCAUCUAAGCGCGAAACUUGCCUCAAGAUGAGUCUUCCCUUGGACUUUGA